CUGCCACUGGACACCUGAUGUCUGUGGAUAGACCCAGCGGGAAAGCCGGCAUCCACAUCCUGCCCAUCACUCCUAUGUCCACUCUUGGCUGCACCCAGGAGAGUGGGAAUCUUUGAGCGAGACAUUCUCUGAACAGGAUUCAAUCCCCUGCUUUGUGUGGUGUGGCUCAUCAGGGGAAACAGCAUUUUCAUAUGGGUCAGUGGAGCCACACAAUGAGAAGGAGCCCAAGGCCAUGCUUAUUAAGGCCCACUUAUGUAGACCUUGGAUUAAUGCUUUCACCUUCACACGUGCAAGCCCUUCUCAAGGCUCUCAGGUGGGACUGUCCUACCUGGGUCCAGAGCCUCUCCACCCACUGGUCUGUGGCUCUGCCCCUGUCUCCUCUUUCACAUCAAGAUCCCCAGGAAGUGUGUUCACCUGCACCUGCUGUGGGCGGAGCAAGACAAGCAUCCGGAAAGGAUGGAGUGAAGGGACGCUCCUGGCUGCUCUGUUGCUCCCUUUAGCGGAUUUAGCGGCUCAGGAGAGGGGAGACGGCCCGCGGAAGCAGAGGAAACCACGCCUCCUUCGUGGCUCGCUUAAGGCAGCACCUGGAGCGGUUUCAUCGUUUACAGAGUCCUGGCAACAAGCUCCAGGAGCUCGCGGCGGGUCGCUCCGGAACUCCUCACUCACCCUGAAUACCGCGCAGAAGUUACCAUGGUGGAUCGCUGGUUGUUUAUCUGCCCAGACAUUCUGUAUGCAGUUGGAAGGAUAUGUAGCAAUUCAUGUAAAGAGCCGCAAAGGAGACCAUCAGCCUGCAUGGACCACUCUGCAGCUUGCCUCUGCACGUCACAAUCUAUCCUGGAGACCUUCCCACAUCUGCAUAAAGAUUGGCGUCCUUCUCUGAAAUGACUGUGCACUGUUUCAUUGCAUGCAUGCUAUUUAUUUUUUAGCUCACUCUGAUGAAGAAUAUAUGUGUUAUGUCUUGGCUUCUGCUAUCACAGACAAUGCCACAAGCAACAUAUUCAUUCAGGUAUCUCAGUGUGCAUCUACAAGCAUAACCAAUAGAUAAAUUCAUCCUUUUCGGCACAGUGUUGGUUAUCUUCCAGCAAUUUUUCUUGACAGCCAGAAACAAGAAAGUCUGAUUCUCUCUGCACCUUUCUAAUAUCUACCAAUGUCACAGGAGAAAAUGAUUCUUUUUGUUUGUUCAGUUCCUCAAAGAUAUUAAUUGAGCACUUACUAUAUGCCAAGGGCUUUGUGUUAGGUUAGGGAAGGGAACUUUUUGUGGGGAAAGUCUUAAUGAAAUCAGCACAUAAAUAAAAGUGAGUUACAGCUGUUAUUUGUGGAGUGA
Molecule: long non-coding RNA, 1324 nt
Filed under: Oryctolagus cuniculus (rabbit)
Lineage: Eukaryota; Metazoa; Chordata; Mammalia; Lagomorpha; Leporidae
Description: lncRNA (ENSOCUG00000035118.1)
Source: RNAcentral